UGUUUUUAAGGUCCCGCCGAACAUAAGGUACUAUUGUUAGUAAGACAAUAUCUUUUAUCGAUAUCGUCGCUUAACGGGAGCCAAAAAGCCGCCCGAACAGGCGCUUGAGCCUCGCCUUCAGGACGUCGAAUACGAGCGAAGCUGCAUCGAGGCCCGGGGCCUCUCCCUGUAUUGCUACUGUAUUCCCGGAAAGCUUUGCCUCGAGGUUCCGGACA
RNAcentral lists this unclassified non-coding RNA (215 nucleotides) under Hevea brasiliensis (rubber tree). The record is from RNAcentral. Lineage: Eukaryota; Viridiplantae; Streptophyta; Magnoliopsida; Malpighiales; Euphorbiaceae.